UACGUAGGUGGCAAGCGUUGUCCGGAAUUAUUGGGUGUAAAGCGCGCGCAGGCGGUUUCUUAAGUCUGAUGUGAAAGCCCCCGGCUCAACCGGGGAGGGUCAUUGGAAACUGGGAAACUUGAGUGCAGGAGAGAAGAGCGGAAUUCCACGUGUAGCGGUGAAAUGCGUAGAGAUGUGGAGGAACACCAGUGGCGAAGGCGGCUCUUUGGCCUGUAACUGACGCUGAGGCGCGAAAGCGUGGGGAGCAAACAGG
RNAcentral lists this ribosomal RNA (253 nucleotides) under uncultured bacterium. RNAcentral's name for it is "partial 16S ribosomal RNA". It matches the Rfam family "Bacterial small subunit ribosomal RNA", at positions 524 to 776 of the family's 1533-position model. The record is from RNAcentral.